AGAAGGGUGCGUCUCACGGAUAGAGCAAUGGCUAGAGCACACCUGAUCAAAGGAAGGGAAGGAGUUCUUAUCCCUGACGCAGGCCUCCAUACCAUGUUUGGCAUCAUGCAAAGCUGUGGAGACGAAUCUCUGAAGGGCUUCCAGCUUCUACGUGAUAUCAGAAGAACCUACUGGAGGCACAAAUAUAGUCAAUAAGUAAUCCCACCAAGAAAAAACAGACCUACUCCACUGACUUCUCCAGAUGGACUCAUUGAGGGAUACAGGAAUGGUGUCAGAGAUUCUGGAGUCAUCCAAGCCACCCCAGGGGAAGCCUGGGCCGGAGUUGCAUCUUAGAGCUAUUCAGCAGCCCUGGGGAUUUACCCAAUACUAUUAUUCACACCAUCAAAUCUGAAACUUUCCCAAUAGAACUCAAAUAAUCAUCCCCUCACUUCUGGAUGGCAUUUUGCUGCAGGUGGUGUGAACAAGAGAAAUGUAGCAUGUGCCCCGCCCAACCCUUGGGGUUCUUGUGGCAUCGUCAAGUUUUCAGGCACCACCACAUUCCCCUCAUCCAGGCGCCAGUGCCUGCAGUGGAAGCUGCUUGCCGUACACCUGGUCCAGCCACAGCCUUGCGUGGAGUCGGCACCAGGAGCUGCCUAUUCUGCCACAGCAGUUGGUGCACCUGGUUAUGUUCAGUGGCCAGACCCCACACUCACUCACACAACCCUCACUACUCUGUGCCUGGCUCACCCUCGGCGGGCAUGGGAUCUGGGCCAGUAGUGCAAACAGAGUGCAGCCUGCUGAGCCAAGUGGGCAAAAUGAGCCCAGUGGGCACGAGCUAAACUCAAGCAGAGGCGCAGACGGCCACAGAGGUUUCUGGCUGGCGAAGUGACACCUGAAGGAUCCUGUGACCUUAUUGACUCAUUUCUAACAAUUAGAAUAAAGCAGAAGUGUUGUGAUGUCACUUCCAAGAUGUUAGGUUAUAAAAAGACUGGCUUUCAUGUUGCCUGCACUCACUCUCACUCGUUCUGAUGGAUUACUCAUGGUGGAGAAAGAUAGCUUCCAUGUCAUGGAGCAGCCGUAUGAAUAGGUCUAAAUGAGUAACCCUGCAAGUAGGUCUUCUGAGACCAGCCAACUAUCAGUGGGUGAGAUUGGAAACCCCAUUAAGACCUAAGAUGCCUGUAGCUCCAGCCAACACUUUGUAUCCUUGUGUGAGACCAACCCUGAGCCAGAGGACCCCACUAAGCUGUGCCUCAAUUCCUAACCUAAAAGAAACUGUGAAGUAAUAAAUGUUUGUUGUUUUAAACUGGUAA
Long non-coding RNA from Macaca mulatta (Rhesus monkey), 1289 nucleotides. RefSeq lists it as uncharacterized. Lineage: Eukaryota; Metazoa; Chordata; Mammalia; Primates; Cercopithecidae. The record is from RefSeq and is a predicted model, not a curated record.